RNAcentral lists this long non-coding RNA (4592 nucleotides) under Podarcis lilfordi (Lilford's wall lizard). The record is from RNAcentral. Lineage: Eukaryota; Metazoa; Chordata; Lepidosauria; Squamata; Lacertidae.
UGACAAUAUUUUGUGUUUAAAAACAAAGCAACACAAGUGUGGAUCUUUCUUUAAAAAAGAAAAGAAAAACCUAACAGAAAAAGAAAUGACUCCAUUCAACGUUUAAAGCUGUCAGUUUUCCCAUGGUGAGCAAAGAUCUAACCGUUCACCGCUGAACACCUACUUUAUUUACUUAGCUACGCUGCAUUUAACCACAUGUUCUAAUUUCUGAAUGUCUCUUGUUUUUAGCGCAGCUCCCUGAAACACUGCCCUAGCAGAAGGUGGGGGAGGACCCCUCAAAAACAGGAAAUUUGAUGACAUCGUAGGGUGAGCAGACGUCAGCAUGGAAUAAACAGCUUCCUAAGAGCAACAGACUCGAGGAACCAGCAUGGUUACUGUGGGGCAUUUGCUGGGUUUGGUGUGAAAGUCAACUUCUGUAUCGGAGUGGGGCAACUUAGGUCCAGACAGCAAAUCCAGCCCUCCAGAGCUCUCUAGAUGGGAAUUUUCCCCACGUUACACACUCCUCAUUAGUACCGUAUUUUUCACUCUAUAAGACGCACCAGACCAUAAGACGCACCUAGUUAUUGGAGGAGGAAAACAAGGAAAAAAUAUAUUCUGAAUCUCAGAAGCCAGAACAACAAGAGGGAUCACUGCGCAGGGAAAGCAGCGAUCUCUCUUGCUGUUCUGGCUUCUGGGAUAGCUGCGCAGCCUGCAUUCGCUCCAUAAGACGCACACACAUUUCCCCUUACUUAAAAAGGAGGGGGAAAGUGAGUCUUGUAGAGCAAAAAAUACGGUAUUUCAAAAAGUGAAAAUCCGGACACAAAAGUUGUUGCCACAAAAUCUCCAAAAAAUGAAGUUUUUGAGCUAACUUCACACAAAAAAAUCAACAGUUCCGAAAUGGUUUGCCAUUCGCCCGGGUUUCCCCAGACAUUUUUGGAAAUUCCACCUGGGCACUAUUUCCAAUGAACAAAUCGUGGGUAUGUCCAAAAAAUCAAGGAGUUAUGGCAGCCCUACUCAUUAGCCUUCUUUUGGACCACCUUGAAUGCUUUCCAUGGCUGGAAUUGGUCCUCAAACUCUGUUAGCGCUUCUUGCCAGUGGCGGACCUACAUUUUUGAAGCUCUGAUGAAGCUCGAACUGCCACAAGAGGCCCUUCACAACCAGCAAUGAGGUUUGGGUAACCAUUGUUAUCUUCCUCAGUAGUGUUGUUUACAACAGCCUUUACAACGUCUGUGCUACUGACUCUCAAAUUUGUUGAAAUAUAUGGGGGGGAAAUUAAUCAAUAUGAGACUUAAUUGGAUCUACUACAGGCACCCCCAAACUCGGCCCUCCAGAUGUUUUGAGACUACAAUUCCCAUCAUCCCUGUCCUGUUAGCUAAGGAUCAUGGGAGUUGCAGUCCCAAAACAUCUGGAGGGCCCAGCUUGGGGUGCCUGGUCUACUAGAUUCAACUUUUCAAAGCAAUGUGGUCUAAAGUUGCUUCUGAAGCCCCAUCUGGAUCAGGGGACCAGAAGCUAAACCUUCAUUAGUUUCAUAGUAGAUCCACCUUUGCUUCUUGCUGGCCUUGGAUGGAGAAGAAAGAGGGAUUCCUGAGUGUGAAAGAAAGUCACCAACUAUGCAAAACUGACCUCCAAUGCUCUGCUCAUUUUUUAUUCUGGCUCUGCCCAACCCUGGCAGUGGUGAGACAACAGUGGUGAGUCCCUGAGCGAAUGUGAGGAAGAUAAGACUGCAUAUUUUCAACUCAACACUCAACCUUAUGAGGUACAGUGGUACCUCAGGUUAAGUACUUAAUUCGUUCCGGAGGUCCGUUCUUAACCUGAAACUGUUCUUAACCUGAAGCACCACUUUAGCUAAUGGGGCCUCCUGCUGCUGCCGCACAAUUUCUGUUCUCAUCCUGAAGCAAAGUUUAGCUAAUGGGGGCCUCCUGCUGCUGCCGCGCUGCCGGAGCACGAUUUCUGUUCUUAUCCUGAAGCAAAGUUCUUAACCCGAGGUACUAUUUCUGGGUUAGCAGAGUCUGUAACCUGAAGCGUAUGUAACCUGAAGUGUAUGUAACCCGCUGUACCACUGUAGAAUAUUAUGCAGACAUCUAAAUGGAAAGAAAAACACUCAGAGAGAGGGCAAAUACUUCCCCCAAUGCUUCUAAAAUAUGAGUUAGAGCUCUUGUGAGCUCUUCUGAGAUCUGCUUAUUCGCCACCAUCACUACUAAAAACCCAAGGUCUCCUUCCAUUGCAUGGAGUUGGACAAGAUGAAGCGUGGCGUCCCUUCCAACUCUAUAGUUCUGUGAUUCUAUGAACUCCAGCCAAGUUCAUAAUAGUGGUCAGGAAGUGGGACCAAUUAAGUAUUGCAUCCUUUGAUGCAUGUACAGUGGGAUAACUUGGACAUACCAAUCUACAUUUGAGUUUUUACAGGUUGAGGAUUCUUUUCACGACUGCUGUUGUGAAACCCUUGGGACUCAGCCAUCCUUGCUGAUUUACUGCAAAUUCAAGAUUCAGAUUCUGGACCCGAACAUAGGAAGCUGCCUUACGCUGCCAGAAAUGUGGUCCAUCCACCUCAGCAUUGUUUCAAAAACAAAUUGCAGAUGGCUGCAGAAAUGUGGAGAACUGAAUUUAAGAAUGGAAAAACGAGAAACGGCGGGAAACCGAAAUUGACAGGUUUGAUCAUCUUUACGGCCAACCCCACAGCCCAUCAGCUGCAGUCCAACCUUUUAGAGCAUGCUCCAAAUUUUCCACUUCAGAAGCAAAUGCAUGUUGCAAAGAAAUAUUUUUCCAAUAUGAAAAGAAUGAGGGGUGGGAGAGAGCUCAGCCUGCUAGGAUUAGCUGCACCUACCAUAUGUUUCCCCACAAAGAGGAGUGUGUUGCUCGUGCAAUUUCAUCACAGUGGCCAUCUUUGUUUCCACAGAGAUUGUGACAUAUGGCCAUAGACUCUUAAAUUAGAAGACUCCCUUUAAAAAAAAAACCACCCCAGCACUGAUCUUUUUGUAGAAAUGAAUAGUGUAUUCAAAGUGAAGAAAGCUCCUGUUAUGGACCUACCCAUUUUUUAUCUAUAUAUGUCAUUUCCUUUUAUUGCUUUUGUAUAAUUUUAAGGAACAGGGUCAUCCAGCGAGAAUGUGUGUCUAAAAUAGCUGAGGAAUGAUUUCAUUUUUUACAAAAAGGGACAGAUCUUUCUAUUAGAUGAUAUUGUUGUUGUUAUUUAUGAUCAUUAUGGUAAAUUAGUAGCAAUAUGGUAGAAUACAUUAUUAUUAUUAUUAUUAUUAUUAUUAUUAUUAUUAAUGGAUGUCCAAAUAAGCCACAGAAUGGACCCACUGUCUCUGAUUGCAGGAAGUCUACUCUGAGGAUGGUGAAUACUGGAUAUCACCUAAUAACAUAAACCAGUAAUUCCCAGAAUUACAGGGAAUUAUAGGGAUAGAGCUAUCCAAGUUGUAUAUAAAUUUAUUUAUGUACGCAACUACAGCGGCAAGAAUGUUACUUGCCCCCAAAUGGAAAGAAGAAGAAGUCCCAGUAAAGGAAGAGUGGAUAAAAAAAACUUACGGAAUACGCAGAAAUGGUGAAAAUUACCGGAAGAAUAAGAAAUCAAGAGAACAAACUUUUUAUAAAAGAAUGGAAAUGGCUUAUCAAAUAUUUACAGAUAAAUUGUAAACAGAUAAAAACACUGGCAGGAUUAUUGUAAUAACCUGCAGCUAUAUAAGUGUGUGUGUGUGUGUGUGUGUGUGUGUGAAGUAAAUGAGCAAGUUAAGUUAAUUUGGAUAUGCAGAAGAUAGUAAAAAUAAAUUUAAGGAACCGCAGGAAGAGGGGGAAGGAAGUCAAGCUUUAAAAUGUCAAAAUGAAUGUCAAAUCAGUGAAAUGUAUAUAUUUGAAAAGUAUAAAUAAAAGUUAAAUAUAAUAAUAGUAAUAUAAACCAGUGCUAUUUUUUCUAGAAAAAUAGGUGCUGGAACUCAUCAUGGACAAGAAGCUCACUUCCAAGUAGGGUCAGUAAUGUCCACAGUCUGAAAUCCCUACUAGCAUAGACAAUACCAAACAAGAUGGACAAAUUGUCUGGAUCAGUAUAAGGCAGCUUCCUAUUUCAUCAUCAACAAAUGACAUUUGGGAACGAUUUCCUCUGGGUUAAAAGUGGGAGGCACACACAAUACAGUGGUACCUCAGGUUAAGUACUUAAUUCGUUCCGGAGGUCCGUUCUUAACCUGAAACUGUUCUUAACCUGAAGCACCACUUUAGCUAAUGGGGCCUCCUGCUGCCGCUGCGCCGCCGGAGCAUGAUUUCUGUUCUCAUCCUGAAGCAAAGUUCUUAACCCGAGGUACUAUUUCUGGGUUAGCGGAGUCUGUAACCUGAAGUGUAUGUAACCCAAGGUACCAUUGUACAGUACAUUUUUAAGAAUGACAGAAGAGCAAUUGUCUCCUUUGCUGUCCAGAAAAAUAGGCGGGCAUUCUCCUUGCAACUGCCAGACAACCCAGUUAAUAUCACCUCCUGUCCAACAAGUCAGUCUAGACUCAGGGAAUGGGACCAGGUUUUCUGGCCAAUGGCAGUGCCCUGGUCUCUCACCCCACACCUGUCAGCUGAUGCACCUUUCUUUCAUCUCUUAGGACGACGUCAUUGCUCAUCUACCAACAGAGAUGCACUCGAGC